This 715-nucleotide unclassified non-coding RNA is filed under the name Hevea brasiliensis (rubber tree). The record is from RNAcentral. Lineage: Eukaryota; Viridiplantae; Streptophyta; Magnoliopsida; Malpighiales; Euphorbiaceae.
UGUUUCUACUAUUGUAUUUUGUGAAGAGCUAUCUACAAUCCAUGACAGCAAGACUUGAACAAUGGAGAAUUAAAAGAAGGGACACUGAGGAGUGGAUGAGGCACCGUCAGCUACCUGAAGAUCUGCAGGAUCGUGUUCGUCGAUUUGUUCAAUAUAAAUGGUUAGCUACAAGAGGUGUCGAGGAAGAAGAAAUUUUACUUUCCUUACCCUUGGAUUUAAGGCGUCAGAUUCAAAGGCACCUCUGCCUGGCACUUGUUCGUCGUGUCCCUUUCUUCUCCCAGAUGGAUGAUCAACUUUUGGAUGCAAUAUGUGAAUGCCUUGUUUCAUCAUUGAACACGAAAGACACGUUUAUUGUUCGUGAAGGAGAUCCAGUAAAUGAGAUGCUUUUCAUAAUUAGAGGUCAACUUGAGAGUUCAACAACCAAUGGAGGAAGGUCAGGGUUCUUCAACUCCAUUGUGCUAAAUCCGGGUGAUUUUUGUGGUGAAGAAUUGCUAACAUGGGCCUUGGUGCCCAACCCAAAUCUUAAUCUUCCAUCUUCAACUCGAACAGUGAGAUGCCUUACAGAAGUUGAAGCAUUUGCACUUAGAGCUGAAAAGCUCAAGUUUGUCGCAAACCAGUUCAGACGCCUCCAUAGUAAAAAACUACAACAUGCAUUUCGAUACUACUCACACCAAUGGAGGACGUGGGGAGCUUGCUAUAUACAAGCUGCAUGGAG